This is an RNA transcript of Tachysurus vachellii, 771 nucleotides long. It is a transcript of the gene named ribosomal protein S9, with no coding region annotated. The transcript is spliced from 6 exons. Lineage: Eukaryota; Metazoa; Chordata; Actinopteri; Siluriformes; Bagridae. The record is from RefSeq and is a predicted model, not a curated record.
CACGGGGCGCGUGCACGUAGAUCUUAUAAAGCCCUCAGUCACUUCCGCUCGCUCUCUUUUUCAUUUGGACUCUGAGGAGGACAGGUGUGGAUAAGUCACCAUGCCGGUUGCCCGCACUUGGGUGUGCAGUAAGACGUACGUCACUCCACGUCGUCCCUUCGAGAAGUCUCGUCUUGACCAGGAGCUCAAGCUCAUAGGGGAGUAUGGUCUGAGGAAUAAGCGUGAGGUCUGGAGGGUGAAGUUCACUCUGGCUAAAAUUCGUAAAGCUGCUAGAGAGCUGCUCACUCUGGAUGAGAAGGAUCCCAGGCGUCUCUUCGAGGGUAAUGCCCUGCUGAGGCGUUUAGUGCGCAUUGGUGUGCUGGACGAAGGGAAGAUGAAGCUCGAUUAUAUCUUGGGUCUGAAGGUGGAGGACUUUCUGGAGCGCAGGCUCCAGACUCAGGUCUUCAAACUCGGCCUGGCCAAGAGCAUCCAUCAUGCCCGUGUCCUCAUUCGCCAGAGACACAUCCGCCCUUGCUGAGCACAAGUGAAAUUUCUGCAAGGUCAAUUCGGCACUGAGCCGUAUACCUUUGCCUGUGUUAAUGUGUCGAGCCCCGAGCUGGGUGUAUGGACCGGAACCAUUUGCAGACAUCAGUGUUCGUAAGCAGGUGGUGAACAUCCCAUCUUUUGUGGUGCGCCUAGACAGUCAGAAGCACAUUGACUUCUCCCUGCGCUCUCCAUAUGGAGGAGGACGUCCCGGCCGUGUUAAGAGAAAGAACGCUAAGAAGGGCCAGG